Long non-coding RNA from Etheostoma cragini (Arkansas darter), 140 nucleotides. RefSeq lists it as uncharacterized. The record is from RefSeq and is a predicted model, not a curated record. Lineage: Eukaryota; Metazoa; Chordata; Actinopteri; Perciformes; Percidae. The transcript is spliced from 3 exons.
AUGUGCCUCUGGACUGGAGCUGGGCAAUUUAUCGAUAUCAUAUUGCUAUCAUGAUAUGAGACUAGAUAUCGUCUUAGAUUUUGGAUAUUGCAAUAUGAGUGUUGUCUUUUCCUGGUUUUAAAGGCUGCAUAACAGUAAAG